AGAUGGCUAAGGUUGUCUAUGUGUAUAUUGAAGCUAGAGGAGAGUUGGAACAUGAAGGGAAAUUGGAUGAUCCCAGUGUAGAAGAACUGCUUGGUUAGUUUGGAAGCAUGGAAAUUUUGAGGGAGUCAGUAAAGGUUCUGUAUCUAAGGACUGAUGACUGAUAUGAUGGUGACAGUGAAGAUGUAUCUUCUUUUUAUGAACCUUGCUUUCCAGGUGAUGCAUACCAGUUAAAGUAGAACUAAUCUGCUGUCCCUACAGGUCUUAAAAUCAAACUUAAACUCAGGGUUUCUUUUGUUAUUUGUUUGUUUGUUUGUUUGUUUGUUUGUUUUUGUUUUUGAGACAGGGUCUUGCUUUGUCACCCAGGCUGGAGUCCAGUGGCAUGAACACAGCUCACUUCAACCUCAACCUCCUAGGCUCAAGCAGUCCUCUUGCGUCAAUCCUCUCACCUCAGCCCCCCAGUCUUGCUUCCAGAUGCUGAUUCCUUCAGGCCAUCGUAUUAAUGCCAAGAAUGCAAGUAACUGUUAAAAGUCGGGUUAAGAUGUGGUCACUGGGCCUGAGAGAUGCUAAUUGCCUGCCUCCUUCGGGAUUGCCUUUCCCAGGUUCUGGUCAACGGGGUACGAGUCAAAGUGAUGUGUACAACUUCUGGGCCUUGUCCUGCCCACCCUGUCCCUCUUCUCUCAGGCUAGAACUUGGAUGUGGUAUUAGUGAGCCUAUUGCCACCAUUAGAAAAGUGUAAUACUUGGGGAGUGGCAGAACAAGGCAGAGGAACCUGGUGGCCUUGGGAAAGAGAGCUGCCCACCCUCUCCGAACUGCCUGUUAUAAUAACUUGAUGUUAUCUGAGCUGCUCAUGUUUAGGGCUCUUUGUUACAGAACUUUAGCCUCUACCCCAACUAAUAUAUAAAACACUAGAGGCCCUUCAAAGUCCAGAAAAUGCUAAAUAUUAACUUUCAUAUGAUAGUAUUUGUGAUUCAGAGCUUCCACUUGUCCAUUCUUUAGUGCAGGAAUUUUUAAAUGUACUCACAGAUCUGGUGUCUGUAGUUAUAUGUCAGUCUUAGAAACUCUGUAAACAGAAAUGUCAAGACUUGCCCCAACUUCAACACAUGAUAGACAUGGCCUGAGAUCUUAGGAGCCUCGGUGCAUUCCUUC
Molecule: long non-coding RNA, 1146 nt
Filed under: Pan troglodytes (chimpanzee)
Lineage: Eukaryota; Metazoa; Chordata; Mammalia; Primates; Hominidae
Description: long non-coding RNA NONPTRT009973
Source: RNAcentral